Molecule: long non-coding RNA, 1485 nt
Filed under: Marmota monax (woodchuck)
Lineage: Eukaryota; Metazoa; Chordata; Mammalia; Rodentia; Sciuridae
Source: RNAcentral
GGCGAGGGAGGGGAAAGGAGGGGGCGUGGGGGAGGAAGGACGGUGGAAUGAGAGGGACAUCCUUACUCCAUUCAGAAUUUUGCGGAAGAUCUCCUGGGCCUGGGGAAUCAUGGAGAAGAUUCUCGUAGGAGGUGGAGCUUUGUUUCAGAGCCAUCUUGGAAAACUCACAGCUUUAAAAAGUAAAAAACAAAACAAAACAAAACAAAACAAAACACCCCUGGCUUCCAUUUCCACUAAAAUCAUACUCCCUAUGAGAGAUCAAAACAGAUGUCAAGGAUUUGCUGUUUCCAUUCCCCACCUGACAUCCUUAGUGGUAUUCGGAGGUAUUUCCCUUGGACUCAAACUUCCCUUUGGGGUCUGUUUCUUCAUCUAAGCAGAACUCUGUGCUUCCCCCCACCAUUCCCUUGGAGUUGGGAGGUGGUGUCAUUGCGGUCUUGGAUAUUUUCCCACUUGUGUUUCAGCCCCAUGCCAAAGCUCUUGACAAAAGUCCAUCCUCGGAAGCUUCUUGAAUGUGCUAGACAUUUUCAUUCGUAGGCUUGUUUGGCUCAUCGUUUCCAAGUCGAGUUCACAAAAGCCUAGUGAGAGAAGCAGAGACCAGGCUAACUUCAUUUACCCCUGACUUGUCCCCCCCCCUUAAUGUACAAGGUCAUUUUUGAUUCCUUUUGUGGAGCACUUAUUAACAUCCUUAUUGUUCCAUGGAAAAGAGUUUGGGAAACAGUAGUUCACACAGAAUUUUUUUUUUUUUCUCUCAUGAUAUUGGUUAACAUUUGUCCCUCCGUUUGCUUCUGGUGGGCUCAACUGUCAUAUAUAACUAAAAAGAACCAAGAGAGAGAUGGGGGGAGUGUGUUAAUUUGCAUGCACUGGCUCCUUUAAACCUGAUCUGACAGGCAGGGGCUGUUGUUGAGUCCCCAUGUCACAAGGAGGAAAGUGAGACUAGGAGUAAUUGAGUAACUUGCCCAGGGUGGCCCUGCAAGGGUGUGGAGAGCCAUGGUGGGGUCUCAGAAGUCUACGGCCGAGCUGAAGCUUCUAGCCUCCACUGUCUCCUUCCCCCAGUGGGUGGUGGUCCUGGCUCAUUGUGACAUCAGUCGCCUGCCAACUCUAAGUUCUGUUUCACAGGCUGGCAUCACAAUGUUGAAUGAUGGAUUUAGGAAAUAUAUUACAAUAUGUCCCUGAUAGGGCUUUGUUUCUGGAGGACACGCAAAACAUACAGAGUGUCUUUGUCAUGGCGUGCAUUGGUUCCUAUCUCCAGGAAUAGCUGGGGAUGAGUGGUGACUAAGUGUGCCCCGAGUGGCCUUGGCAUCAUCUUGGGACUGCGGCCCUGCCAUCUCUCUGUGGCUGUUCACCUUUGCCCUUAUAGAUGGAGGCCGUGAGCAGAAGCAGUUUGGUGGCAUCCACCCUACCAGUUCCUUUACUCUCAUCUCUUAAACGAUUAUAGUGCACAUUCGAUGUUCACUCUGGUUUUUGAUGUGGCAUCCUUUUUAUGAG